CACCAUUUUUAUGGAUGAUGUCGCAGACAAAGGGAAGGGGAGAUCCUUCAGAUGCUGUCCUGCUCGCGUCCCUCGCGGGAACUUAGGAGCGUCUUAGCUAAGGUCUGUCCGUAUAAACCCUGGACCAGGCUACUCCGUGGAGUAGAUGACCGUUAUGCCAUAUGACGCCCCGUGAGACUCAGGGUGCAGCCCACUCAGAU
Molecule: long non-coding RNA, 200 nt
Organism: Lutra lutra (Eurasian river otter)
Lineage: Eukaryota; Metazoa; Chordata; Mammalia; Carnivora; Mustelidae
Exons: 3
Source: RefSeq, a predicted model, not a curated record